GACAGAGGUGCCGAGCGUUAGGCGGAAUCACUGGGCUUAAAGCGUGUGUAGGCGGACUUCUAAGUACCUUGUGAAAUCCCACGGCUCAACCGUGGAACUGCUUGGUAUACUGGUCGUCUUGAGCCACUUAGGGGCAGUCGGAACAGACGGUGGAGCGGUGAAAUGCGUAGAUAUCGUAAGGAAGACCAGUGGCGAAGGCGGGUCUCUGGACAGUUCCUGACGCUGAGGCACGAAGGUCAGGGGGGCAAACGGG
RNAcentral lists this ribosomal RNA (253 nucleotides) under uncultured bacterium. RNAcentral describes it as "partial 16S ribosomal RNA". It matches the Rfam family "Bacterial small subunit ribosomal RNA", at positions 524 to 776 of the family's 1533-position model. The record is from RNAcentral.